Small nucleolar RNA from Grammomys surdaster, 132 nucleotides. RefSeq annotates it as small nucleolar RNA SNORA17. The transcript has a single exon. Lineage: Eukaryota; Metazoa; Chordata; Mammalia; Rodentia; Muridae. The record is from RefSeq and is a predicted model, not a curated record.
UCUGACCCUAGAGGCAUUGCAGGUGUGGCUGCUGUAUCACAAGUGUGUCAGUGGGUGGCAAAGAGGAGAAAGCCUUAGUCUACACUUUGUGUUCUGACCUAUGGACAUCUGAAUAAUUAGUAGCCUAAUAUU